AUAUUCUUUAUCGUUAGAGUCUCGCUGUAACAUUCUCGAAGUCGCCAGCAAAGAGCUUACCACAGGUUCAUACGACAGCCAUAGCAUCUCUGUCAGCAUCAAUGGCGUCUCGAGUGAUUUGAUUACUGAAAUCGAGUUGCAGAAACUCUUUGUUUGUCUCCAAUCACGUCUUAUAGCCUUCUCUUCUAAUAAACUGAAACAUUCCGAGUUACUCAUCGCAUUUAUCACCUUAUUAACUCCAUAGCCGACGUAAACCACGAUCUGACCUUAAUUGUGAGUUAUCCUUCUGAAAAGGGGUUUAUUCUACACCUAUAAAAGCUGGCCGAUGCUCCUCCACUGUCCAAGUGCUGUUACUCAGGUUCUGGAUAGCCAGAAAUGUCCGAGAGGAGGAGAAUUGAUGUCUCUUGAUAUGUUCUUACUGGAUUCAUAGGUGACCCUUAUGCAAGCAACCGUGAAUGUGAGCCGGCUAGCAACUUACAGGCCUUAUCUCCAGGCCGGUUCAAUGUAUUCUGUCACCGGUUUUGAUGUAACUCGGUGUAAUCAAAACUUCAGGCUCUCGAACUCCUCUCUGCUGAUUCGAUUCAGUGACGCUACCGCUCUUGCUGAGUUAACUGAACCAGCUUUUCCAAUACCUAAAGAAUGUUUCAGGUUCCGUAAUCACAGAGGGAUACUUAGUCUAGCCAACAGCAAUACCCAACUUCCAGGUAUUCCUCCUAUAAUAUGUUCAUAGGUAUAGCUGGAUAAGAUAUUAAUAAUAAUCCUGAGCCAGAUGUUAUUGGUGAGAUAACUGCUGUUAAGAGAAAGUUCUUUUUCGCUUGAAUGGCUAACCUAUCUAUCUUAAUCGCUGGAGGCUGGCUGGAGAUGGGUUAGAUUCACCGGAGAUGGGUUCUUCUUCUGUUUUGGAGAGUAGAAUCUGAGGAUUCAAAAGUGUUAAAGCUUUGGAGACUGGAGUAAGCAAGCAACUCCAUCGGCUUGAGAGGCAUGGGCCGGUAAACAAGGUCUGUUUUGCAUGUUGGAACCAUGGCUCUUUCCAUUUUAGACAGAGAUGAAUGUAAUGGUUAAUCUUCAAGAGUAUAGGAGUUUUAAACACUGCACAAAAGAGGGAGUUUUAAACACUGUUGUAGACUUUAGCUGCUGCUCUACUACCACUUUUUAACAGUAUUCUACCUCUUUCGGUCAUGCUAAUUAUUGCUUCUGAUUC
Molecule: long non-coding RNA, 1201 nt
Organism: Raphanus sativus (radish)
Lineage: Eukaryota; Viridiplantae; Streptophyta; Magnoliopsida; Brassicales; Brassicaceae
Exons: 3
Source: RefSeq, a predicted model, not a curated record